AUUAGUUUUUUAAUUGAAGGCUAAAAUGAAUGGUCGGACAAAAAAUAAUCUGUCUUAAAUUAAGAUAUUGAAUUUAACUUUAAAGUGAAAAGGCUUUAAUGAUCUGGUGGGACAAUAAGACCCGGGAAAGCUUUAUAUUUUAAGGUGGAAAUUAAUUUUAUUUUAAAGUUACUAUUUUAAAGUAUUUUGUUGGGGCGACAAGGAUAUAAUAAAAGGUAACUGUCUUUUAUUCUUACAAUAAUAUUUGGUUUAUUGAUCCUAAAAGGGAUUAAAGAUUAAGUUACUUUAGGGAUAACAGCGUAAUUUUCUUUAAGAGUUCUUAUCGACAAGAAAGUUUGCGACCUCGAUGUUGAAUUAAAGGUUCUUUAUAGAGUAGAGACUAUAAAAGAAGGUCUGUUCGACCUUUAAAAUUUUACAUGAUUUGAGUUCA
RNAcentral lists this ribosomal RNA (430 nucleotides) under Faxonius illinoiensis. RNAcentral's name for it is "Orconectes illinoiensis partial large subunit ribosomal RNA". The stretch from base 291 to 430 matches the Rfam family "Bacterial large subunit ribosomal RNA", at positions 2473 to 2613 of the family's 2925-position model. The record is from RNAcentral. Lineage: Eukaryota; Metazoa; Arthropoda; Malacostraca; Decapoda; Cambaridae.